GACUUCCUACGGGGGGCAGCAGUGGGGAAUAUUGCACAAUGGGGGGAACCCUGAUGCAGCGACGCCGCGUGGGUGAAGGAGUACUUCGGUACGUAAAGCCCUCUCAGCAGGAAAGAAAAUGACGGUACCUGACUAAGAAGCCCCGGCUAACUACGUGCCAGCAGCCGCGGUGAUACGUAGGGGGCAAGCGUUAUCCGGAUUUACUGGGUGUAAAGGGAGCGUAGACGGCAGUGCAAGUCCGGAGUGAAAGCCCAGGGCUCAACCCUGGAACUGCGUUUGAAACUGUUCUUCUUGAGUGAUGGAGG
Molecule: ribosomal RNA, 305 nt
Filed under: uncultured bacterium
Lineage: Bacteria
Description: bacterial SSU rRNA
Rfam family: Bacterial small subunit ribosomal RNA
Source: RNAcentral